Molecule: transfer RNA, 72 nt
Filed under: Marmota marmota marmota (Alpine marmot)
Lineage: Eukaryota; Metazoa; Chordata; Mammalia; Rodentia; Sciuridae
Also listed under: 2 other names
Rfam family: tRNA
About the family: Transfer RNA (tRNA) molecules are approximately 80 nucleotides in length.
Source: Rfam by way of RNAcentral
UGGGUUGUAGCUCUGUGGUAGAGCACUGGCCUAGCAUGUGUGAGGCCCUGGGUUCAAUCCCCAGCACCAUAU